Long non-coding RNA from Girardinichthys multiradiatus, 389 nucleotides. RefSeq lists it as uncharacterized. The transcript is spliced from 2 exons. Lineage: Eukaryota; Metazoa; Chordata; Actinopteri; Cyprinodontiformes; Goodeidae. The record is from RefSeq and is a predicted model, not a curated record.
UCUUUUACCUGGCCAAUUCUAGGUUUAAAAUUAUUGCUUAUCUGAGAAGAUUCUGUUCCUUGCUCAUUGACUAAUGUUUUGUUUUUGUCUCAAGUUGAUUAAGCUUCGUUCUUGUGAGACAUCAGAAAGGAACUUUCAAACUGUUUUAUGGACUCUGGAUCCUUAUUUUUGUUCCGCUGACAGCCUGAUCAGAUAUUGUCCUCACAGCUUCAUGCGAACACUGUCCACCCUCCUCCAAACCUCUUUGAACUCACCUGCUAUGCCGUGCUGCGUAGCCACUGCUCACCAGGAUCACAACCUCUCUCCCUGGCAGACUUAACUCUACUUCAUUCUUCCUGCUUCUUCAGUUCCCUGCACAUGGGUUCCAAAAUAAAAGUUUACUAAACGUU